CCUACGGGUGACAGCAGUCGAGAAUCAUUCACAAUGGGGGAAACCCUGAUGGUGCGACGCCGCGUGGGGGAAUGAAGGUCUCCGGAUUGUAAACUCUUGUCACGUGGGAGCAAAUUAAAAAGAUAGUACCACAAGAGGAAGAGACGGCUAUAUCUGUGCCCGCAGCCGCGGUAAUACAGAGGUCUCAAGCGUUGUUCGGAAUCACUGGGCGUAAAGGGUGCGUAGGCUGUUUCGUAAGUCGUGUGUGAAAGGCGCGGGCUCAACCCGCGGACGGCACAUGAUACUGUGGGACUAGAGUAAUGGAGGGGAAACCGGAAUUCUCGGUGUAGCAGUGAAAUGCGUAGAUAUCGAGAGGAACACUCGUGGCGAAGGCGGGUUCCUGGACAUUAACUGACGCUGAGGCACGAAGGCCAGGGGAGCGAAAAGGAUUAGAUACCCCUGUAGUC
This 446-nucleotide ribosomal RNA is filed under the name uncultured bacterium. RNAcentral's name for it is "partial 16S ribosomal RNA". It matches the Rfam family "Bacterial small subunit ribosomal RNA", at positions 338 to 795 of the family's 1533-position model. The record is from RNAcentral.